Helianthus annuus (common sunflower) is the source of this 269-nucleotide long non-coding RNA. RefSeq lists it as uncharacterized. The transcript is spliced from 2 exons. The record is from RefSeq and is a predicted model, not a curated record. Lineage: Eukaryota; Viridiplantae; Streptophyta; Magnoliopsida; Asterales; Asteraceae.
AUUUACUGGUGGUACCGUGCAUUAUUAGCUGCAUUUUUACCUACUCCAGUCUGGUACCGGAUAUUCCUUCCUAAACAAAGGAUAUGGGAGUCUUUUUUCAUCUUUGACCACAAGGUUGGAUACUUGUGGAGUGCAUGGAAUGUGUUAUCACCAAAGGACAUCCAUUUUUGGUCAUAUGCCACACAAGAACAUGUAUAAUGACGAUAGAAAUUUACCUAAAAUCCAUAUUAAAAGCAUUAUUAUACAUAAAGGUUAUAAUUAUGUUGCAA